Long non-coding RNA from Glossina fuscipes, 617 nucleotides. RefSeq lists it as uncharacterized. The transcript has 3 exons. The record is from RefSeq and is a predicted model, not a curated record. Lineage: Eukaryota; Metazoa; Arthropoda; Insecta; Diptera; Glossinidae.
UAGAGUGAUGGUUAAGCGUGUUUUCCAAAUUUCUAUCGCAUCUGCCCAUAGUGGCAAAAAAACGCCAACGUGUUAAUGCACUCGUAUCGUACACUCGACGCGACUAUUAUCUAUCCAUAAAACUCAAAGGAUUUCAAUUAAACGUUGAGGCCUUUGCAGAAACUUGGAAGAUUUAGCAAACCGUUCCUCGGAUUGUUGAGGCAGUAUUGCACCUAAAUGCUACAAACGAUAUAAGAAAAUCAAUUGUUAUUCUUCAAUUGUGUGGGCAUAAAAGUACAUAUUAUAUAUAAUGCGGGAUAAUCGGCCAGGGCUUAGGCCGACGGAAAACAUUGUAACAUUUGUCGAAUUCGUUUGUAUUGCCUGUACAUCCUCAUUUGUGUGUCGCAAAUAAAAAAUGAAAACAACCACCCAGCUGUCACCAUUUUCAGUAAUAUUGAAUAAAAAUUUGAGGUGUCAAAAAGUUAAACGGAGCUGGGGAGCCCGUCUGUCGAACAAAUUAAAAAAAUUUUUAUAAUAAUAAGAAAACCGAGUGUAGAUGACAAUGUUUGAUAAAAGCAAAGCAAAGCAAAAUACAAUAAAUACAUAAACGCAACGUAUUCGUACCUUUUGUAAAGGAA